Molecule: ribosomal RNA, 382 nt
Filed under: Aricidea nolani
Lineage: Eukaryota; Metazoa; Annelida; Polychaeta; Paraonidae
Description: partial large subunit ribosomal RNA
Rfam family: Bacterial large subunit ribosomal RNA
Source: RNAcentral
UAAAACGACGGCCAGUGCGGUAUCCUGACCGUGCUAAGGUAGCAUAAUCCCUUGCCUCUUAAUUGGUGGCUAGUAUGAAUGGAUAGACGAGAAUUAUACUGUCUCUGCAAGUUAUCUAAAAAUUAUCCUUUAAGCGAAGAGACUUAAAUAAUUAUAAAAGACAAGAAGACCCUGUAGAGCCUUAAUUACUUUUAAAUCCAAAAAUAAAACUAAAACAAACCUUUAAUUUAAUUUUAGUUGGGGCGACUAAGGAACAUCCACACCUUCCUUUACCUGAAAGGCACAUUUGCCAUAUUAGUGAUCCAUUUUCAUGAUCAAAAAACCAGGCUACCUCAGGGAUAACAGUCUAAUCUUCCUCAAGAGUUCACAUUGACAGGAAGGA